CCUACGGGAGGCAGCAGUGGGGAAUAUUGCACAAUGGGGGAAACCCUGAUGCAGCGACGCCGCGUGAGUGAAGAAGUACCUCGGUACGUAAAGCUCUAUCAGCAGGGAAGAAAAUGACGGUACCUGACUAAGAAGCCCCGGCUAACUACGGGCCAGCAGCCGCGGUAAUACGUAGGGGGCAAGCGUUAUCCGGAUUUACUGGGUGUAAAGGGAGCGUAGACGGCAGCACAAGUCUGGAGUGAAAUCCCGGGGCUUAACCCCGGAACUGCUUUUGAAACUGUUCGGCUGGAGUGCAGUAGGGGGAAGCGGAAUUCCUGGUGUAGCGGUGAAAUGCGUAGAUAUUAGGAGGAACACCGGUGGCGAAGGCGGCUUACUGGACUGUAACUGACGUUGAGGCUCGAAAGCGUGGGGAGCAAACAGGAUUAGAUACCCGUGUAGUC
Molecule: ribosomal RNA, 440 nt
Filed under: uncultured bacterium
Lineage: Bacteria
Description: partial 16S ribosomal RNA
Rfam family: Bacterial small subunit ribosomal RNA
Source: RNAcentral